This is a non-coding RNA of Pelobates cultripes (western spadefoot toad), 286 nucleotides long. NCBI's taxonomy places the organism in Eukaryota, Metazoa, Chordata, Amphibia, Anura, Pelobatidae. The record is from the annotation of a GenBank genome assembly.
CUGCAAUUUAGUGACAAUAUGAAGUGCCCCCAAAAAGGUCAUUCACAGUAUGAUCUUCUAUAUAAAAUACGCCCUCUUUUUGCUAACUUUAAUGAAAAAUUUGUCACUAUCUAUACCCCCAAAAAACAUAUUUCUAUUGACGAAUCCCUCAUAACGUAUAAGGGAAGACUGGAGUUUAAACAGUACAUCCCAUCCAAACGAUCCCGAUAUGGGAUCAAAUUUUAUAAGUUGUGUGAAAUCGAAGUAAGGGAUGGCUACCUUGAUCCCCCAGGUUGCCCAGAUAUAG